GUUUAUAGACGAGNAUAAGUCGUAACAUAGUAGAUGUACCGGAAGGUGUAUCUGGAAUUAUUC
Molecule: ribosomal RNA, 63 nt
Filed under: Oziotelphusa sp. FB-4
Lineage: Eukaryota; Metazoa; Arthropoda; Malacostraca; Decapoda; Parathelphusidae
Description: partial 12S ribosomal RNA
Source: RNAcentral